RNAcentral lists this transfer RNA (75 nucleotides) under Neotoma lepida (desert woodrat). It matches the Rfam family "tRNA". Rfam says of the family: Transfer RNA (tRNA) molecules are approximately 80 nucleotides in length. Their secondary structure includes four short double-helical elements and three loops (D, anti-codon, and T loops). The record is from Rfam by way of RNAcentral. Lineage: Eukaryota; Metazoa; Chordata; Mammalia; Rodentia; Cricetidae.
AGGGGUGUCGCUCAGUGGUAGAGUGCAUGUCUGGCAUGCAUGGUACGUACCAUGGGUUGAUCCCCAGCACUACUA